This 8701-nucleotide long non-coding RNA is filed under the name Mytilus galloprovincialis (Mediterranean mussel). Lineage: Eukaryota; Metazoa; Mollusca; Bivalvia; Mytilida; Mytilidae. The record is from RNAcentral.
AGUAAUUGGAAACAGUAAGUAAAGUUCUUUUUUGAUUUUUGUUGUAUGUUGGAAUGCAUUUUUUUUUAUUGAAACGAUACUUAUCUGGCAUUUAACAAAGAUAGCGGACGACACCUGAUUAAACUUAAAUAUCUAGGUUUUUGUCAAUUAAUUGAGUAUUACGAUAGAGCUCAUACUAGUUUUUCUUCACUUUAAGUAAUCAUGUGUACAAUAAAAGCUAAUUGUAAGUGCAAAUAAAGACAUUUUUUAUUCAUUCAUAUUUUUUUUGUGUGUAUAAUUUUCGUUGUUUACCUGUAAUUUCAGCCGCACGUAACUGUAUUUUAUUAUUACGUAAUCUCUAUACAUGUAUACAUGUCACAUUACACACGGUCAUUUGAUUUAUUGUAUAGUUAUUUUGAUAUUUUUUUACUGUGUUUGAUUAUUUACCGUGAACUCAUAGAAUAUGUCUCUCUUGGUUUAAUAUAAGAUAAUGUGUCGUGGAUUGAGAGAAAAAAAAUUGUCUAGUAAGACUAAUUUGGUAAAUCUUGUUUGCUUCUAUGUAGCUUAGUUCACUUGCCCCUAAUUGUCUUCUUCUUCUUUUUUAUUAACACCAUAUAUAAUACUUUUCCAGGCGAGGCAACCAAAGAAAAGGUAAAGUAUAACUUUCUUUAAAUCGAUUUCGUUUUGUUUUUACAAAGAAGAACAUCACGUAAACACACAAAAUGUUGAUAUAUAAGGUCUGAAAAAUGAAAUUGCCAUACAAAAUAAAGAACUCAACAAUUAUACCUUUUAUAUUGUAUACCUUUUUUUAUUGAUGUUUUGUUACAUUUCAUUUGUUGGAUUGUUUAUUCUUUGAAAAUAUCCAAAAUGAUUUUGUUGUUUUCAUGUGAAUCUUUUAACAUUUGAUUUUCUCAUUAGGUUGAGACAUUUCAAAUGCAAUUUAGCACACACUUUAUUAUUUAAGCCUCAACGAUGUAAUGGCUCAAACGAAUGUGGCUUUAACCAAUGUUGUGCCAAUAAAAAUCUGAGAGGACGAAAAAGAAGAUCUCCCAGCUUUGCUGGAAUUUGUCAACCAUAUGGUCAAUUAAAUGCAGGUACAGCGUUUUUUAAGGAUAUAUUUUCAAACGAUGAUGAAUAAUUAUAAUCUUAUGAAGAGUUGUCUCAUUGGCAAUCAUACCACAUCUUUUUUUCUUAUAUUUACUGCUGAGUUUGUUACUCGUGCUGUGUGGUAGAAGCAUAAUGUGUCCCCGUGGUUAUUAAAAAGAACAACACAUAAUGGCCUUUAUGGUAUAUUCCCUUAUAUUUUUACAGUAAGGGUUAUUUGUUUGUGCGAGAGCUGUCAAAAUAUUUAUUUACAUCAAUGUGCUAUUUCUUUUACUGUAUUUCUGUGUCAUUUUGACUCAUGUGAAGAGUUUGCAAUCAUUUUUCAUCUUCUUUUCUAUAUGAUCUAAAUUCUUUGAAACUUCUGAAGUUAGAUUGCUUCAUUUUAAUAGUAGCUUUAAUUCAUCAUACAGUUUUAUCAUCAGAACCAAAAUCAGUGCAGUAAUGGCAUUACCGGUGAUAACACAUGAACAUUAGUGCACCUCUGCUGCCGAUCGUAUCCAAGCGAAACAGACAAAUCAGUUAAAUAAAAAAAAUGUUAUUUUCUUACAAAUUGAAUUUAUUUCAAGCAAAUAAACAUGCACAAUGUAUUUAUGUCAUGCAUUUCUACUCAACUUGAAUGUUUAUACAUUAUAAUGACACCUUCGAUGAAUGCACCUGCGAUGGUACCAGUUAUGUUUAAUCGUAACAUAUGUACUACCGUUAAUUUCGAGGAUCAACACACUUUUCAAGAUUUUUCCCAAUAUCGUGGAACACUUAAAAUCAAAGAUUUGUAUAAAAAAAUAGAUGUCAUAUAAGAAAAAAUGUGUAAGGGUUCCGCGAAACCCAGUGUCUCGACUACUUUUGAUUUCAAUCGCUCACUCAACAAAAAUGAGGAAAAAAAUCAAUAAAAUAUUCCCCUUGAUAUUAUCUGUUGAUUGAAAGAAGCUUCUUAUCAAGUUUGGUAAAAAUCCAGGAUGAAUCUUAAAUGUUUUAAAAACUGCAGAAUGUAUAUAACGUUAACUGAAGUUCAUUUAUAAGUAAAAUACGGAAAAAUGGAUAUUGUUUUUACAAAAUUUACUAAUUGAUACUAUUUUAUGAUCAUAAACAAGGUUCUUUCCAAGUGUGGUUCAAAUCUAGGAUAGUUUAAGAAAGUUAUAAAAAUUUCAAAAACUUAAACCACAGUGUGAAUAGUUGUGGAUGCCGCCGACGACGACGCCGACGAAAUGUAGGAUCGCUAUGUCUGGCUUUUUUGGUUUAAGUCGAAGGUUCCACAAAAAUCUAACAUAGAAUAGCAAAAAGAAAAGUAACUUUUACCUCUUGUGCAAAAAUAUUAAAAAUAAAUACUCAAUCGCAUAUUGCUUCAGGAAUUUGCCACUGAAAUACCUAAUAUCGCGUAGCAUGUAUCGCACCAUGUCUGACAUAUAUGAUGGGAGUGUCAUACAAUUACUUAAGUGUUGAUGAAUUUUUAAAAUCUACACAUACAGACAUCAACCAGUUUGGAAAGUAUUGGUUUUGUCUGAAUUUUGAUCUAAACUAAAACAAAGGAAAACAUGUACAAAUGUAUACUGCACCUUUCUUUGUUUCAUAGUCCUGAAUAUUCACUUUGAUAGGACCUGUAAUAAUCUUCGAUUUUUUUUCACAGUGACGGCCAGAAAUCGCCUUUAAAUUGUAGCCAACAAAAGACACAAUCAAUAAUAAAUUUAACAAUAUUUUAUACAAAAUUUACUAGAAGUAUUACACAAAUAUUACUGUCAACUUAACUGUCAAAAUAUGAGUCCAAUCUUUUAUCUUUGUCUGUAUCCGGAUAUUUCGAAUCCAAUCUGAAUACGUUUCACUACUACAGUCACAAUCCAGUAUGAUGUUGUUGUAGAAUUAAAGUGUCAUCCAAUGCGGUGAAUACUAAUGUCUAUCGAUCUAAGUCUAAGUCCAAGAGUGAGUCUUUAACUUAGUGCCUGUAUAUAUAGUUGUCACGGAAAAUUCUAGAACACUCUAGAAUGGAACGUCCUAGAAAGUUACAACGAAAUUUUCUAGAAAAAUGUAGAAGUUUAUAUAACGCAUAUUUUAUUAGGAUCAUUCUGGAAUCAUUAUGUAAGUCACAUGGAAUAUUCCAAUCAUUCUGUGAUUGUUCCGGUGAUUUCUAAACUGCACAGUUCUAAGAUUAUUCUGUAAACAACUAUCAGGCCACACAACACAAAUCAGGCCACAUAAAUAAAUACAUAUUACAAUAUAUAAACCUCCCCUUAAAAGAAGUUUUAGUGUAACAAAACUUAUCAUGAAUAAUAUGAACAAAAAUACAUAGUAUAUACAAAGUUUUUAAUAAGCUUAGAUAAACAUCUGCUAUUACAUUAUCUUCUCCCUUAAUAUGUUUUACAAUUACAUCAUAUUCCUUAACAACAAACUCCACCUAGUCACCUCUGAUUCUUGUUUCUUUUAUGUAUGAAGGUGAGAGGAUGUCAGUGAACAAACAAGAAUAGAUAUACAGUGGGAUUCAAAUAUACAUCAAAAUGUUGAAGUGCUGACAACAUUUCAAAACACUUUUUUUCAAUCGUUGAAUAAUUAUUCUGAUGUUUAUUUAAUUUCUUGGAAAAAUAUGAUAUAGGUUUCUCAACAUUAUUCUGUCUCUUGAUAUAAAACAGCUCCAAUUCCUACAUCGCUGCAUCAACGGUUUAAAUUGUUUUGUCUGAGUAAAUCAGAACUGGACUUUAAUUAAAGUGAUUUGCUAUUUUCAAAAGCGUUUUGACAAUUUUCACUCCAGAUAAAUUUAGAAUCUUUUCGUAAAAGAUGAGUCAAUGGUUGACACAGUGCAAAUUUGAACAAAAUUUUCUGUAAAUCCAAUCAUGCCUAAAUAUCUCAUAAGUUGUUUUCUAUUUGGAGGAGGAAAUUGGAAAUAGCUUCCACUUAGCCAUAUAGGUUUCACUUGACCUUGGCCAACUGUGCCCUAAAUAAUCAACAGUGGCCUGACAAAAUUCACUUUUCCAAGAUAACAGUCAAAUUUGAUUGUGACAAUCUAUCAAAGUAUCAUACAAAUGUGUUAAAUGCUUUCCAGCUAUCACUACAUACAAUUAGAUCAUCAAUAUAAGCAUAACAACAGUUCAAAUCUUUUAACAUAUUGAUCAUUCUUGAAAUUUAGCUGUGCACUUUUCAUGCCAAAUGGCAUUACAGUAUAUUGAAUAAGCCAUCUGGUAUAACAAAAGCUGAUAUUUCACGAGCUCUCUGUGUCAAUGGAACUUGCCAAUAACCUUUCAACAAAUCAAAUUUGCUCACAAAUUUUGCUUGACCAAUGUGUCAAUACAAUCGUCUAUCCUUGGAAUCGGAUAGGAAUCAGAUUUUGAGACUGAAUUUACUUUCUGAAAUCAGUCACGAAACGAAAGGUUUUAUCUGGUUUUGGUACAAGGAGACAAGGAGAGCUCCAUUCACUGUUACUCGGCUCAAUAAUAUCAUUGUCAAGCAAUUAUUUAAUUUCUUUUCUCAUAGCUUCAAGUUUGAGUGGAUUGAGCCGGUAAGGAUAUUGCCUAAUUGGAGAAGCAUCUCCUAUAUCAACAUCAUGCAAACAGCAGUGGUUUGUUUGGCACAUCUGGAAAAAAAUUUUAAAAGAAAAUACCAAAGUUUUUAUUUCUUCUCUACGAUCAAAGACAGAUGUGCAAGUUUUGAGUCUAAAUUUGACAAAAUUUCUGAAUUUUUCAAUCUAACUGUCUCUUCCAUAGUUUUAGAACUUAAAGGUGGUUCAAUUACAUCUGGUUUGUCAUGAUUGUUCUCAAUUUAACCAUGCCUAAAGUGGCAAACUGGUUUACUCUCACAUUCAUUAGUACGCUCAAAAUAUGGUUUUAACAUAUUAAUAUGACACACUCUGUUUUGUUUACGCCGACUGGAGUUUUUACAAUAUAAUUCAAAUCAUUGAUUUUACUCUCUAUUGUAUAAGGACCACAAUAUUUAAGCCUGUAAAGGAUGUCAGGGACUGGCAAAAAUACAAGUACCUAUCACCAGGCUCAAAAACUCUGUCCCUGACAUCUUUAUCAUACCAUAUCUUCAUCUUGUUCUGUACAUUUUUUAAGUUUUUUCUGAGCAAUUUGACAAGCAGUGUACAAUUUUCUUUAAAUCUAGAUACAUAGUCUAAAAGAUUCAAGUCAGUAUGUUCAGUAAGCCACUUUUCCUUAAUCAAUUUUAACGGUCCCCUUACAGUAUGGCCAAAUACGAACUCAAAGGGACUAAAUCCAAGGGAUUCUUGAACAGCCUCUCGGACUGCAAAAAGUAGAAAGAGAACUCCAUCAUCCCAGUCUCUGUCAAAUUGAAGACAAAAAGUUCUAAUCAUGUUCUUCAAUGUUUGAUGAAAACGUUCUAAGGCACCUUGAGAUUCUGGAUUGGUACGCACUUGAUCUAUACUGAGCAAUCCCUAACUGGUACACGACUUGCUGAAAUAAACCUGACAUGAAAUUUGAUACCUGGUCGGACUGUAUAGACUUAGGAAGUCCUACUAAUGUGAAAAAUUUGAUAAGUGCUUUGACAAUAGUAGGUGUCUUGAUAUUUCUUAGCGGAAUAGCCUCAGGAAAGCGAGUAUGUACACAUGAUUGUCAAUAAAUACGCAUUUUCCAGUUUUGGUCUUUGGUAAAGGUCCAACGCAGUCAAUUAGAACUCUGUUGAAAGGUUCGUCAAAGGCUGGAAUAGGCAGAAGUGGUGCUGUUGGUAUUUUCUGAUUAGGCUUACCAACAACCUGGCAUAUAUGACAUGAUUUGCAGUAUUCUGCAACAUCAUUUCUAAGUCUUGGCCAGUAGAAAUGCUGCAAGAUCUUAAGGCAAGUCUUCCUUAUACCUAAGUGUCCAGCCAAGGGGUGUCAUGGGCAAGACCAAUAAUUUCUUGCCUAUAAACUUUAGGCACCACCACUUGGUAUACCACUCUCCCAUUCCUCCUCUGGGUAGCAUCAGGAGGCUUCCACUUCCUCAUUAAAAUGCCGUCCUGAUGGAAAUAGCAUUCAGCACUUUGUCUGCUUCCUCCUGUGGUUGAGCCCUCUUGAGGAGCUGAAGAACCUCAGGGUCUUUAUUUUGUUCUUCGAAAAAGUUCUUUCGGUUUAAUGAAUGGCUGUUUACGUCUGGCCAUGGCAUAAUUACAUUCUUGUUAACACUAGGUGGUCUUAUUAUGGCCUUUUCUGAGCUACAGGACCUUCAAUGUCUGCUAGGAAAGUGUCAGAAAGGUCCAUGUAAUCAAACUGGUUUUCUUGCAAAUCCUCAUCUUGUUGUUUUCUAGCCAUCGCCCUAGUUACAAACAAGCUGGAUACAAUUCAGCAUCAUCUUCAGGUAUUUAACAUCCACACUGGUUCACUGGUAAACAAUUGGUUCAGCAACCACUUUGUUUUAGCUAGAUCAUUUCCUAGCAAUAAUGUAACACCCUCAACAGGGAGAUUAGGACGAACACCCACAAUAACUGGUCCAGUUAUCAAAUCUGACUUCAGAUAAAUACGAUGGAGAGGAACAUCUAUACAACCCUAACUCUACACCUUGUAACAAAACGGAGGCACCAACAGAAGUCUUCUCGGACAAAGGCAACACACCUUCUAACAAUAAAGACUGAGAAGCUCCAGUGUCCGUAAAAUCUUAAUAGGCUGAAGAGUGGUAUCAUCAACAAUAGAAAUAAACCCAUCAGACAUAAAGGGUUUAUAUUCCUCCAUGUAAUCACAAAAACUGGACUUAAAAGCCUGACUCGCAGGACAUUCCAACGUACUGGUAAUAUAAGGUGUCGUACAAGCACUGGACUUCGGCUUAUUAUCUCGUUCAUUCUUCUUCUGGAGUCUAAAACAAUCAGCCAUCAGGUGACCAUUUUUCUUACAUAAGCACAAAUCAGUGACUUCUUCUCAAAAGUAUCAAAUUUUGGACUAGACUAUUAUAAACUGGACUGACUCUUAUUCUGUGCAACAGGCUUACUAUCAGUACGCUCAGUGCUUUGAUUUUUGUAAUUUCCACUUGAAGUAUUAACAUUUUGACCCUUGAAACUUCUUUUAUGUGAAAGGGUAUAAUUAUCUGAAAUUACAGCUGCAUCAUGUAUUGUCCCAACAGUUUUGUCGUCUAAAUGUUUUUAAGUCUAAAUGAACACAUUGUUUGAACUCUUCUAAUAACAUCCAAUUGUCUUAGGUUAUCAAAAUUGUUAUCUGUUUUCUUUGAAGUAAGCUAUUUAUCAAAUAGAUCUUCUUUUUCCCGAGAAAUUCCACAUAGUUUGCGAAUCAAACUUUUUAUAAGAUCUAAAUUUCUGUCUAUAUGCUUCUGGUACUAGCUCAUAAGCUUUCAAAAUUCCUGUUUCACCGUGUCAUAAAUCGGAACUUUUUUCUGAUGGAAGUGCAGAGUAUAUUUCAGCGGCCUUACCCUCAAAAAACACUUUGUAGCAUUGUAGUCCAAUAUGGCUUUGGCCAAUUCAAAUUAUGAGCAAUUUUCUCAAACUGUGGAAAAUAUUAUCGACUGUUUUUUCACAAAUCUGGGAACCAAACGUAUAUUUUUUGCUGCAUCAAAAAUUCUGAUUUCGGCUGGACUUUAGUGUUGCUUUCUUCUUUGACCAUUUCAAUUUUCAGUUUCUCCAUCUCUAGUCUUUCCCUCAUUCAAGUUCUGCUUGUUAAUUUAAAUUCAUUUUUCUUUUUCUUUUAAUUUAAAUUUCAAGUUCUUCUUUUUAUUUAAUUUAAGCUGUUUUAAUUUAAGCGUCAACAUUUUUCGACCUUAAGUUCAAGAGCCUCUUCACGUAAAAUUUCUGCUUCAACUAAUUUGUCUAUUACCAAAUUUUUUAUAAUUUGUUUUGUCAUAGAUACCUUAAAAUUCAAUUUUAGAUGUUUAGCAAGUAACACUAAUUCCUCUUUCUUUAAAUUAUCAAACUCCUCCAGGUCUGGCGUUUUCAAAAAUUUAACCGGCAUAUUUAUUAUACAAAAGUUUACAAGAAGUAUUACACAAAUAUUACUGUCAACUUAACUGUCAAAAUAUGAGUCAAUCUUUUAUCUUUGCUGUAUCGGAUAUCUUUCGAAUCCAAUCGAAUAUUACGUUCACUACUACGGUCACAAUCCAGUAUGAUGUUGUUUGUAGAAUUAAAGUGUCAAUCCAAAUGCGGUGAAUACUAAUGUCUAUCGAUGUCUAAGUCUAAGUCCAAGAGUGAGUCUUUAACUUAAGUGUCUGUAUAUAUAUAGUUUCAUGGAAGAUUCUAACAGUUAUAAUGAAUCCUAGACAGUACACAGAAUUUCUAGAAAUGUGAAGUUUAUAUAACGUCUUUUAUAGGAUCAUUCUGAAGUUCCAUCAUUCUGUAAUCUGCCAGUGAUUUCUAAACUGCACAGUUCUAAGAUUAUUCUGUAAACAACUAUUAGGCCACACAACACAAAUCAGGCCAACAUAAAUAAAUACAAUAAUUACAAUAUCAUAACAGUGAACAUAUGUUUUAUUCUUUUAUGUUAAAUUAUGAUCAAAUCACAAAUCUUCGAGACAAGUAUAAUAUAUUGAACAAUCAUUUCUUCACCUUGAGAAUAAUACAAAUCGAUGUACAUUUUCUUUUGUGAACAGAAAUAUCAAAACAACGUAAGCCUUUUAUAUUAAAAUGUGGUUUUUUUAGUAGAAUGUGCAGUGAAAAAUCAACAUGCUAAUGACAACGUGUUUCCAGGUUGGUGUACAUGUUCUGUUCCAUU